ACGUCGUUUCCUUGGGAACGGCCUGGGGCGGGCGGUAAGUCCGGGAUGGUGGGCAAGGAGUUGUGGUAAAGUGGAGUCGGUCUCUACUUUGGGUUUCGGCUCCACUGUGGGAAUCGGCCUCUCCUCUUCCUGCCCUCGGAACAGUGAGUGUCUGUCAGCGCCUCACCGCACCGGCUCUCUGCCUCAGAUUAUAGACUCCAGUAGCUGAAGUGAAGUUAACUGGACUACAGUCACCUGCUUUUUAUCUUCCACCCUUCAACAAUGGUUUUCAACUCCACUGGGACCUUUCCGUAACAGCUGCCUUUGUCUUCCAUUGUUGGUGAUGGUUGCCUCAUUCUCCCUUUCGAAUAUAGUUUCUGCUGAGGGAUGAACUGAUCCUGCAUCUGCCAAAUUACUCCUGGAAAUUGAAGCUUUUCAUACAAAGGCCGACUUCCCCAGGUCAUCUCAAACCCAUUGUGCACUCAACGAAUCUUCACUGUCCACUCUGCCAACAACAUUGCUGUCAUCUGCAAACUCACUGAUCACGUUUACAACAAUGUCAGAGAAACUGUUAACAUUGAUGACAAAUGACAGUACCAGAACCGAUCCCUGUGAACGUCACUGGUCAGAGGCCUCCAACCUGAAUGACAAGCUGCCACGACCACCCUCUGUCUCCUUCUAUCAAGCCAAUUUUGUGACGCUGAUAUUAGGCAGUGUCUUGUCUGGCAUCCUUUCUGCUCCAAGUGUGUAAUUCAGAAGAAAUAAAGAAUAAAGAAAAACAGCUACCAGAAGUGCCGAAGCCGCAACUCCCCGCUCCAAUUCUGGCCCACUCAUACAAUGACUGCUCUCUUUAGAUCUAACUGCUGUUUAUUGGAUCUUGGGUAGAAAAGGCAAAGAAUUUCUUCCUGAGAAUCUCAGUGCAACAGUGUGUCAGGUCUGAUGUGUCUGCCAGUUCCCCAGCAUUUGAAGGCUACCAAUCGUUGAAUGUGAAGGAGGAGAUGGUGGAGAGGACAGCACACCAGUCUGAGCAAGGAGAACCCCAAUACAUGGACAUGUCCUUGAUCUGGCCUGAGAAGUGGCCACAGAGUUGAUACCGGUGAGCUGACAUUCACUGCCUCUCAUCAUGCAAGGGAUUCACCAGGCCACUGAACCUGCAGAUACACCAGCCAGUUCACAGGGGGAGAGGCCAUUCACCUGUUCUGUGUGUGGGACGGGAUUCAUUCAGUCACAUAAGCUCUUACACCAUCAGCUGGGUCACACCGGUGAGCAGUUAGACUUGGCUCAGUUGUCUCUGAUUCUCAGUAUAGCUUCACACCUAUUCCGAGCAUGGGCAGAGAUUCAGUUAAGUUCACCCACUUUGUGAGGCUCCAGUGAGUUUGUAAUACAUAGAGGACACACUUCAGCCUUGUGUCAGCAAAGAAAUUUACUCAGUCAUCCCACCUGCUGAAACACUGGCAACUUCACAUCAGGGAGCAAGUUGAAAUAAGCUUUAGCUGGACAUUUUAACCAUCAUGGUGACUGAAUCUAGUUUGGAAGUUCAUGUGAGGCUGUUAAUGUCAGAUUCUGCAGAUAUUGUGACUGAUUAUUAAAAUAAAACUAAAAUAAAUGAG
Molecule: long non-coding RNA, 1589 nt
Organism: Hypanus sabinus (Atlantic stingray)
Lineage: Eukaryota; Metazoa; Chordata; Chondrichthyes; Myliobatiformes; Dasyatidae
Exons: 5
Source: RefSeq, a predicted model, not a curated record